RNAcentral lists this ribosomal RNA (527 nucleotides) under uncultured bacterium. RNAcentral describes it as "partial 16S ribosomal RNA". It matches the Rfam family "Bacterial small subunit ribosomal RNA", at positions 28 to 523 of the family's 1533-position model. The record is from RNAcentral.
GACGAACGCUGGCGGCGUGCCUAAUACAUGCAAGUCGAGCGAAGUCAUAUAGCGGAAGUCUUCGGACGGAAGGUAUAUGUACUUAGCGGCGGACGGGUGAGUAACACGUAGGCAACCUGCCCGUAAGACGGGGAUAACUAGCGGAAACGUUAGCUAAUACCGGAUAGACCUCUUUGGCGCAUGCGAGAGAGGGGAAAGGCGGAGCAAUCUGCCGCUUACGGAUGGGCCUGCGGCGCAUUAGCUAGUUGGAGAGGUAACGGCUCCCCAAGGCAACGAUGCGUAGCCGACCUGAGAGGGUGAUGGGCCACACUGGGACUGAGCCACGGCCCAGACUCCUACGGGAGGCAGCAGUAGGGAAGCUUCGGCAAUGGACGGAAGUCUGACCGAGCAACGCCGCGUGAGUGAGGAAGGUUUUCGGAUCGUAAUGCUCUGUUGCCAGGGAAGAAGGGUAAGGAGAGUCACUGCUCUUUACUUGACGGUACCUGAGAAGAAAGCCCCGGCUAACUACGUGCCAGCCGCCGCGGUAA